GGUUAAGUGACUAAGCGUACACGGUGGAUGCCUUGGCAGUUGGAGGCGAUGAAGGACGUAUUAACUUGCGAUAAGCCUAGUCAAGCUAGUAAAAAGCGCUUGAGACUAGGAUUUCCGAAUGGGGAAACCCACCUGCUUGCAGGUAUCGUUAACUGAAUACAUAGGUUAACGAGGCGAACGCGGAGAACUGAAACAUCUAAGUACCCGUAGGAAAAGAAAUCAACCGAGAUUCCGAAAGUAGCGGCGAGCGAAAUCGGAACAGCCCUUAAGCUUAUUAUGUGUUAAUGGAAGGCUCUGGAAAGUGCCACGAUACAGGGUGAUAGUCCCGUACAUGAAAAGACAUUUUAAGUGAAAUCGAGUAGGUCGGAGCACGUGAAACUUUGACUGAAUAUAGGUGGACCAUCAUCUAAGGCUAAAUACUCCCAACUGACCGAUAGUGAACCAGUACCGUGAGGGAAAGGCGAAAAGAACCCCUGUGAGGGGAGUGAAAUAGAACCUGAAACCGUGUACGUACAAGCAGUAGGAGCCCACUUGUUGGGUGACUGCGUACCUUUUGUAUAAUGGGUCAGCGACUUAUAUUUUGUAGCGAGGUUAACCGAAUAGGGUAGCCGUAGGGAAACCGAGUCUUAACUGGGCGACUAGUUGCAAGGUAUAGACCCGAAACCCGGUGAUCUAGCCAUGGGCAGGUUGAAGGUUGAGUAACAUCAACUGGAGGACCGAACCCACUAACGUUGAAAAGUUAGGGGAUGACCUGUGGCUAGGAGUGAAAGGCUAAUCAAACCGGGAGAUAGCUGGUUCUCCCCGAAAUCUAUUUAGGUAGAGCCUCGGACGAAUACUUACGGGGGUAGAGCACUGUUAAGGCUAGGGGGUCAUCCCGACUUACCAACCCUUUGCAAACUCCGAAUACCGUAAAGUAAUAUCCGGGAGACACACGGCGGGUGCUAACGUCCGUCGUGAAGAGGGAAACAACCCAGACCGCCAGCUAAGGUCCCAAAGUCAUAGUUAAGUGGGAAACGAUGUGGAAAGGCCCAGACAGCCAGGAGGUUGGCUUAGAAGCAGCCAUCCUUUAAAGAAAGCGUAAUAGCUCACUGGUCGAGUCGGUCUGCGCGGAAGAUGUAACGGGGCUAAACUAUGCACCGAAGCUGCGGAUUCAGAAUUUAUUCUGAGUGGUAGGGGAGCGUUCUGUAAGCGGUUGAAGGUGUACCGGGAGGUAUGCUGGACGUAUCAGAAGUGCGAAUGCUGACAUGAGUAACGAUAAUGGGAGUGAAAAACUCCCACGCCGGAAGACCAAGGGUUCCUAUCCCAUGUUAAUCAGGGUAGGGUAAGUCGACCCCUAAGGCGAGGCCGAAAGGCGUAGUCGAUGGGAAACAGAUUAAUAUUUCUGUACUCGAUAUAAUUGCGAUGGGGGGACGGAGCAGGCUAAACAAGCAUGGCGUUGGUAGUCCAUGUGAAAGUGAGUAGGUUGG
RNAcentral lists this ribosomal RNA (1466 nucleotides) under Pseudoalteromonas distincta. RNAcentral's name for it is "partial 23S ribosomal RNA". It matches the Rfam family "Bacterial large subunit ribosomal RNA", at positions 1 to 1528 of the family's 2925-position model. The record is from RNAcentral. Lineage: Bacteria; Pseudomonadati; Pseudomonadota; Gammaproteobacteria; Alteromonadales; Pseudoalteromonadaceae.